Molecule: ribosomal RNA, 473 nt
Filed under: uncultured bacterium
Lineage: Bacteria
Description: bacterial SSU rRNA
Rfam family: Bacterial small subunit ribosomal RNA
Source: RNAcentral
ACUCCUACGGGAGGCAGCAGUGGGGAAUAUUGCACAAUGGGGGAAACCCUGAUGCAGCCAUGCCGCGUGUGUGAAGAAGGCCUCGGUUGUAAAGCACUUUCAGUAGGGAGGAAGGUAGUGUAGUUAACACCUGCAUUAUUUGACGUUACCUACAGAAGAAGCACCGGCUAACUCCGUGCCAGCAGCCGCGGUAAUACGGAGGGGUGCGAGCGUUAAUCGGAAUUACUGGGCGUAAAGCGCAUGCAGGCGGCCUGUUAAGUCAGAUGUGAAAGCCCGGGGGCUUAACCUCGGAAUUGCAUUUGAAACUGGCAGGCUAGAGUCUUGUAGAGGGGGUAGAAUUUCAGGUGUAGCGGUGAAAUGCGUAGAGAUCUGAAGGAAUACCAGUGGCGAAGGCGGCCCCCUGGACAAAGACUGACGCUCAGAUGCGAAAGCGUGGGGAGCGAAACAGGAUUAGAUACCCUGGUAGGAUAGCG